RNAcentral lists this small nuclear RNA (101 nucleotides) under Phocoena sinus (vaquita). RNAcentral also lists the same sequence under 1 other name. Lineage: Eukaryota; Metazoa; Chordata; Mammalia; Artiodactyla; Phocoenidae. The record is from RNAcentral.
GAGCUCACUUUGGUAGCACAUACACUAAAACUGUACAGAGAAGAUUAAUGUGGCCCCUGUACAAGGAUGACAUGCAAAUUGGUGAGGCAUUCCAUAUUUUC